UCGGAUCAGGUAGGGAUACCCCAAAAUAU
This 29-nucleotide ribosomal RNA is filed under the name Cladophialophora sp. 20104730d. RNAcentral describes it as "partial 28S ribosomal RNA". The record is from RNAcentral. Lineage: Eukaryota; Fungi; Ascomycota; Eurotiomycetes; Chaetothyriales; Herpotrichiellaceae.